CCCAGGAGCCACAAGUGGCAACCACCUUUAUUGGGCCUAAAGCGUCCGUAGCCUGUUCUGUAAAUUUUCUGUGAAAUCGUUGCGCUUAACGCAACGGCGUGCAGGAAACACUGCAGGACUAGGGACCGGGAGGAGUCAGGGGUAUUUCUGGGGGAGCGGUAAAAUGCUAUAAUCCCAGAAGGACCACCUGUGGCGAAGGCGCCUGACUAGAACGGAUCCGACGGUGAGGGACGAAAGCUAGGGGAGCAAUCCGG
Molecule: ribosomal RNA, 254 nt
Filed under: uncultured bacterium
Lineage: Bacteria
Description: partial 16S ribosomal RNA
Rfam family: Archaeal small subunit ribosomal RNA
Source: RNAcentral